AAGUCGUAACAAGGUUUCCGUAGGUGAACCUGCGGAAGGAUCAUUACAGUAUGAAUAGAAGGAUGGUGCUGGCCCUUAUAAUAUGGGGCAUGUGCACGCCUUCAACUUCAAUCCACAUACACCUGUGCACCGCGGACGAGUUUGGACUCCACUGAAUUUCGUUUCAGUGAGUCGUUUCUUGAGACAGCGUCUCAAGGAACUGAGUCUGACUCCGUCUAUAUCUCACUACACUAAUGCCUGUAUAAAAAUGCAUGUCUUUUGGCUCUACGGAGCUUUAAAAACAAAAUACAACUUUCAACAACGGAUCUCUUGGCUUCC
This 318-nucleotide unclassified non-coding RNA is filed under the name fungal sp. Its description in RNAcentral is "partial internal transcribed spacer region". The stretch from base 1 to 46 matches the Rfam family "Eukaryotic small subunit ribosomal RNA", at positions 1786 to 1831 of the family's 1831-position model. Lineage: Eukaryota; Fungi. The record is from RNAcentral.